RNAcentral lists this ribosomal RNA (768 nucleotides) under Leuconostoc mesenteroides. RNAcentral describes it as "bacterial SSU rRNA". It matches the Rfam family "Bacterial small subunit ribosomal RNA", at positions 92 to 847 of the family's 1533-position model. The record is from RNAcentral. Lineage: Bacteria; Bacillati; Bacillota; Bacilli; Lactobacillales; Lactobacillaceae.
UGAGUGGCGAACGGGUGAGUAACACGUGGACAACCUGCCUCAAGGCUGGGGAUAACAUUUGGAAACAGAUGCUAAUACCGAAUAAAACUUAGUGUCGCAUGACAAAAAGUUAAAAGGCGCUUCGGCGUCACCUAGAGAUGGAUCCGCGGUGCAUUAGUUAGUUGGUGGGGUAAAGGCCUACCAAGACAAUGAUGCAUAGCCGAGUUGAGAGACUGAUCGGCCACAUUGGGACUGAGACACGGCCCAAACUCCUACGGGAGGCUGCAGUAGGGAAUCUUCCACAAUGGGCGAAAGCCUGAUGGAGCAACGCCGCGUGUGUGAUGAAGGCUUUCGGGUCGUAAAGCACUGUUGUAUGGGAAGAACAGCUAGAAUAGGAAAUGAUUUUAGUUUGACGGUACCAUACCAGAAAGGGACGGCUAAAUACGUGCCAGCAGCCGCGGUAAUACGUAUGUCCCGAGCGUUAUCCGGAUUUAUUGGGCGUAAAGCGAGCGCAGACGGUUUAUUAAGUCUGAUGUGAAAGCCCGGAGCUCAACUCCGGAAUGGCAUUGGAAACUGGUUAACUUGAGUGCAGUAGAGGUAAGUGGAACUCCAUGUGUAGCGGUGGAAUGCGUAGAUAUAUGGAAGAACACCAGUGGCGAAGGCGGCUUACUGGACUGCAACUGACGUUGAGGCUCGAAAGUGUGGGUAGCAAACAGGAUUAGAUACCCUGGUAGUCCACACCGUAAACGAUGAACACUAGGUGUUAGGAGGUUUCCGCCUCUUAGUGCC